CGCCGUAUUUUGCGAGCAUUAUUCGCACCAACUGUCUCAAAUGCACCUUUCGCUAUGGAUUGCGCUGUCCCCUGUUUCUAGUCGUUGCUAGGGCGAUUUUUGUCUUGAAAUGAUCCAAGUAACCAUGUUCAGAAAACCAUAAAUGUUGCGUCAUAGUACAAUCUCUAGAGAUAUGUGUGUAGUUGGAUGAAUCUAGUAAACGAAACAUCAAACGAUAUUCGAUAAAAUUUACUAAAAAAAUAAAACAAUUUAAAAACACGUUUUUAUUGCACUAAAAUCAAAUUCAGUGCCAGAGUCGGAGUGGAUCAUUGGUUCCGGAUUUCCCAUCACAGUGUCGGCACACUGGCCACUGUUAAAACUUUCUUCAGAUUAUCAACGUAAACUACACGGCUUUCGAUACGUCCAUCUUUGGAAAGCUUCAGAGUAUAAAUAUAUCUUCUAGUUGCCCGUUUCCUGGUUCUUUAAUAUGCAGCGUGCCAGCACUUAUGAUGGUUGCAGAUUUGGUGUGCAGAGUAUCGAAUCAUACGGCGGGGCUUCAUGCUUCGAAAUAAAUUCUAUAGCGAGUAGAGAGAACGACUGAGAAAGUAAGUUAUAGUGAAAACGUUUUGCAAAUAGUUAAGGAUAAAAUACUGAUUGAUACACAUUUCACGAUUUGUGAUAUUGUAUCGCUACGUUUAAAUCGAAUCAACACAUUUUCUUCGCAUUUACUCUAUGAGUGUCAAAUGUAUUUUAUGGUUUGUCUUAAAUGCCUUGCAACCCGUUUAUAAUGAA
Molecule: long non-coding RNA, 771 nt
Organism: Anopheles arabiensis
Lineage: Eukaryota; Metazoa; Arthropoda; Insecta; Diptera; Culicidae
Exons: 2
Source: RefSeq, a predicted model, not a curated record